CCUACGGGAGGCAGCAGUGGGGAAUCUUGCGCAAUGGGCGAAAGCCUGACGCAGCCAUGCCGCGUGAAUGAUGAAGGUCUUAGGAUUGUAAAAUUCUUUCACCGGGGACGAUAAUGACGGUACCCGGAGAAGAAGCCCCGGCUAACUUCGUGCCAGCAGCCGCGGUAAUACGAAGGGGGCUAGCGUUGCUCGGAAUUACUGGGCGUAAAGGGAGCGUAGGCGGAUAGUUUAGUCAGAGGUGAAAGCCCAGGGCUCAACCUUGGAAUUGCCUUUGAUACUGGCUAUCUUGAGUUUGGGAGAGGUGAGUGGAACUCCGAGUGUAGAGGUGAAAUUCGUAGAUAUUCGGAAGAACACCAGUGGCGAAGGCGACUCACUGGCCCAAUACUGACGCUGAGGCUCGAAAGCGUGGGGAGCAAACAGGAUUAGAUACCCUGGUAGUCCACGCCGUAAACGAUGAGUGCUAGUUGUCGGCAUGCAUGCAUGUCGGUGACGCAGCUAACGCAUUAAGCACUCCGCCUGGGGAGUACGGUCGCAAGNUUAAAACUCAAAGGAAUUGACGG
Molecule: ribosomal RNA, 560 nt
Filed under: uncultured bacterium
Lineage: Bacteria
Description: bacterial SSU rRNA
Rfam family: Bacterial small subunit ribosomal RNA
Source: RNAcentral